CGGCGAGGCCCCUGCAAUCUCAAGACCCCACCAACGAAGAUGAACCACCACCACCACUGCCACCCAGCAGCUGCCCCUCUCACCACUACCACAGCCACAACUACCCCAAGAAAACCAACCUUCUGUAAGGAUCGAAGACAACCAAUCGAAAAGUCAAUUGAUAAACAAUUAAAAGAUCACAAUAUAACAAUGAAUAAAUAAAAGGGAAAGAAUUUGCAAACCAAUUAACUACCCAACUCCUCUUGAGCUUGUAGAUUAAUUCAAAUAAGCUACUUCAAGUUGAUGAAUUACAAUCACUCUUGUGUACAAAGGAAGGUUCACCUCCUCCUUGCCCCGAACUCCACUCGGUCAAGUCAGGACGUUUUACUAUCCCUCAGGACAACCCUCACAGAGCUACACUCAUGAAAGAUUCACUCACAAAUGAAAAGCUUAAAAUGAAUCUCACACCACUAAGACUACAAAUCUUCGUUGAAGAGUAUUUUCUCACUAAAAUCACUCUAGAUCUUUUGUAUUUUCAGUGUGCAAAAGUUAUUUGAAAUAUCUGACCAACCACUAUUUAUAUAGGAUCAAGAAAGUGCCUCAUUAGUGCUUCCAACGGAUAGAAAGUAGCUGAAGAGUCAACUAGCCGUUGGAGUAUCGGACGUCCGAUGCUUGUGUCCGAUACUGUCGGACGUCCGAUUCUUGCGUCCGACAUCAGGCAGUGAGUUUGAAAAAUUUUCUUCAAUUCUAUCGGACGUCCGAUAGGCUGGUUUUCUGCGUCCGAAGGUAUGAUGUAAAACUGAGAAUUUUUCUUCAAUUCCUUAGAACAUCCGGUAGGCUGGUUUUCUGCGUUCGGACGUCCGAUUCAGUCUUUUUGAGCGUCUGACAACUUUCAGCAACCUUUGUUUUCUUUCAAUUGCACUUGUUUAUGGAAUCAAAUAACUUCAUAACUAAAAGUAUAUCUUGAAGAGAUAUUAGUAUCAUCCAUUUGUUUUAUAAACAUCAAAAGAUAGGGAUCAAGAUCAACAUUCUCCCCCUUUUUGAUGAUGACAAAACAAUGGAUGGAAAGAAACAAAAAUAAGUAUAAGCUCCCCCUCAAUCAUUGCAUCCAAAACUUUCAAGAGUCAAACUCGUAAUCUCAGAAUAACUCCCCCUUACUCAUUACAUCUAUUUCUCCCCCUUUUUGUCAUCAUAAGAUGAGAGUAAAAAUCAGCUACCAUAAUUCAACAACAAUAACAAAGAAUCCAAUAUUUCAAGUAAAAACAGAGAAAUGACAGCAAUAACUAUUAUAUCACAGAGAAUUGAUAUCAAAAGGAGUAUCAAAAAGAGAAAUAACAAUCAAAAUAAUUAUCAGACCAAAUCAUCAUUAGAUCAGAAUUGUUCUUUACUCUCUUUUUAACAUCAUACAGAUCCAGUAAUAUUCAAAAAAUAUCAGCGAAAACUCAGAUCAAAGUAUCAGAAAUAUCAAAAGAAAAAAAACAUAAUGAACAAGAAUUACUGCAAUGAUUAAUAAUAUCUCCUACUUGUUAAAGUUAACAUCAUGUCUAACUAUCCACAUGCAUUUCAUGCCUUUUUUUAUAUUCUUUCUCACAUAGCAAUCACUUUUCAUGUGACCUUUUUAACAACAGAAAUUACACAUAGUUAUUGGAUCAAUCAAAUGAACAGGUUUAAUAAAUCUGACUUGCCUUCUCCUGUAGAUAUUAAACUCAUUUUUGCUAUAAUUCAAUCUUGUCUGAUGAGUAUUAAGAUGAGGUUCAGUGUCAUUCUUUUGAAGGCGGUUCUGUUUUAUAUAUUGCAACAAUUGACAUAAAUCAUCCAUCCUCCUUUUUAGACUGCAUUGUUCACUUCUGAGUAUGUUACAGAGUUUUGUCCUUUUGUUAAGUUCAGCAAGCACAUCAGUUUCAAUCCUCUUCAGGUUUUCAUUUUCAUGCUUAAGACCCUUGUUUUGUCGAAAAAGAUUUGCAUUAUCUUGUAAUAGAAAGCUAACUUUCUGUUUUAGUUCCUUGUUUUUAACAUAGGAUUCUUUCAAGCUGUUAUGCAUUUUUUCUAGAAAAGAAUUAACAUCUUCAUCGGAUUCACUAUCACUAUCAGUUUGAGAGUUGCAUUGAAUUACCUCUUCAUCUCCAGUGGUCAUGAAAGCCACUUGAGCAGAUUACUCUUCUUCCUCAACUUCACCUUCUGAGUUGCAAUCAUUCCAGGUGAUCUGGAAAUUGUUGAACUUUGGUUUUCGUUCAACCUUGUUCUCUUUCUUUUUCUUCAUUGGACACUCAUUUGCAUAAUGUCCUGGUUGGCCACAUUCAAAACACUUGUCAGUUUGCUUUUUGUUGAAUUCCAGCUUUCCUUUAUUUCUGAAAUUAUUGGACUGAUUUGGAAAGGAAUUGCUAUGUCCUCCUUUUCUGAAUCUCCUCUUGUUGAGUAUUCUUUUGAAGCCUCGUGUGAUGAGUGCAAUAUCACUAUCAUCACAUUCCAUGUCAUCUUCACUCACGGAGGCUGUAUCAUCUUCAUCUUGUGAAGCUUUUAAAGCAAUACUCUUUCUCACCUUUGUACCUUCUUCCUCCUGCACCUUGAACUUGAGUUUCAGCUCAUAAGAAAUUAGAGAGUUAAUAAGAGAUUCAAUGGGCAAGGUAUUUAGAUCUUUAGCUUCCUCAAUAGCAGUCGCUUUACUCUCCCAAUCCUUCGAUAAGGCAUUCAGAAUUUUUCUGUUUUUCUCACCUAGAGAGUAUUCUUUUUCCAGCACCUCCAAAUCCUUAAUGAGGUCAUUAAAUCUACAAUACAUCUCAUCAAUGUUUUCAUGAGAUUGCAUCUUGAAGGAUUCAUACUUUGUAACCAGAAUAGACUUCUUUUGUUCUCUAACAUUCUCACUACCUUCAUGAAAUUCUCUCAAUUUAUCCCAAAUUUCCUUGGCUGACUUGCAGCCUUUGACUCUAGCAGAUUCAUUUGAAUCUAAGGCACAAUAUAACACAUUCAUGGCUUUUGCAUUUAAGGUGAGAUGAGCUCUAUCCACAGCAGUCAGUUCACUUCUUAUUUUUGGUCUAGAUGUAUGAGUAUUUUCAUCUAUAAAAGAGGUAUCAUAUGGACCUUCACUAAUAAUAAGUCACAAUUCAAUAUCAAUUGAUUGCAAAAAGAUAAUCAUUCUUUCUUUCCAACUCACAUAAUUUAAACCAGUAAACAUGGGUGGUCUAAUCACAGAAUGUCCUUCAAAAAAUAUGACAUUGUUGGUUGUCAUUUUUACUCCCAAGCCGAUUGAUGUGAGAACCCGUUUUGCCCUAAUAUUUUCCUAGGGUUUAUUUUCCCCUUAAUUGCAUGUUUUCUGCAUUUUCUGGCUUAGAAAUAUUUUCUUAGUGGAUUUUAUGAGUAAUUAUAGUUUUUAGAUGAAUUUUCUAGUAUUGGAGAGUUUUUAGAAAAUUAAGAAUAUAUAUUGGACGUGGGACCCACUAGUGCGAAAGGUACGGGAAAAUUCGGCCAAUAAGGUUAAGUUUCGGAUACUGUUAGAAAUUUAUCGGGUGUUAAGUGAUAAGUAGAGUGUGUGAAGUGAUUGAUGUGAGAGAGAAAAGAAAGAUAAGAAUGCAUUGAUGAAAGUGCCACAUGUCAUCUUCUCAUUGGUUGUACCUUAAGAAUUACUAUUCACCUUUUGACAAUUUUUUUGACUUUUACCACUUGAGUUAAAUAUCUCAAAAAUUACAAAAAAACUCACUCUUCUCUCUUCCCUCUUGGCCGGCCAUCCCAAGCUCCACAAGGAAGAAAGCUCUUCAAAUUUUAAGCUUCCACUUGGUGCAAAUCAACCAAAACCAAUUGUUUCCAUCCAUUUCACUCCAUAGGAACUUUGCUUCUAGUGUUAAUAAGUGUACUAGUGAAGUUGUUUUGAAGCUCUAAGGUGGCCAACCUCUCUAUCUUUCUUGUUUCUUGGUAAGUGUUGCUUGAACACUCUACUACCUCUAAUAAUGGUUAUAUGAUGCUUAGAAGUGGCAUGAGUGUGAGAAAAUGUGAUUUGUUUCUUGAUUUGAAGAGUUUUGGUGAAGUUUUCAUUUUAUUGAGAAUUUUUCUGGUUUAAUAUGAAAUGAAGGUUGUGGCUUUGCAUGAUGAAUGGUAAUGGUUGAUGAUGACUCUAUGAGGUGUAUUGGAUAGGAAAAUGCAAUCAAUUUUGGAUUUGGUGUGAAAUUGAAAAGUUAGGGUUCUUAAUUCCCAAAUUCUGUCCGGUUUUUGAUCAUAGGGUUAGAGGCCGAAUUUGACUUUGCUUAAAACAUGAAAGUUGUAGGUAUUGAUGUGAUGGAGAUACCUGUAAAAUUUCAGAGCAUUUGGAUUAGUGUGGAGUGAGUUAUGACGAAAUUACUGUAGCUGUUCUGCUUUGGACAGAAUGCGAAAACUGCGAUAGUAAUUGGCUAUUUUGACUGGAAUUGGUUUGGAUUUUGGAGUUGGUGUCUUCUGAUGAAAUGUAGCUGGAUGACUUAGCUAACAUAUGCCUUUGGAAUUUCGGCAAUUGGACUUGUAUGGACUGAGAUAUACUGAUUACAGUUUUUGGUGAUUUGCAAACCUGUUUUGGUAAUUCUGGUUUAGUAUUUUGCACUUUUGACCUAGUUAAGCUAGGAACUGGAUUGAGUGCCCUUCUACAUUGUUGUAGCCCUGUUUCAUAGCUUCGAAAUGGUGGGUCUUACACCCCCAACCGAUAACCGUAGUGAAUUUGACGCCAUUACCGCAUUAUAAGAUCAAACACGGUUUUUCUAUCAAGGCUUAAGUUAAGGCCAUAUUUUAAUUUCUGGUUUGCUAUCAUGCCUACUUAUGCAUGUGAAACCCUAUUGGGGUUGUGUUUAGCAUUGUUUGGUGACUCGUUCUCGAGUCUCAUUGUAUGUGUUACAUGUUCUAGGGCUUGAAGGUAGUGCUCGACGGCUUGGUGAUCGUGGUACAUGAAAAACCACUUACUUGCGUGGUGAGUAUACUACUCACUUAAUUGUUACUAUGUGGCUUUGCUAAAUGUAUAUGUGAUGCCUUGAAGGCUUACUUGGAUAUUGGAAUUGAUUAAGGUGAGGGUGUACUUGACCGCCCUCACCCCUUUUGAUAGUAUCACUGAUUGGCUACCGUUUUACUGCAUUACUGAACUUGAUAUACUGGAUACUGAAUUCCAUUCUAGGAAACUGAUUUGGUGUCAUUUGGGCGAAUGUCCAAUGGCUUCACUGUAUUACUGAGCUCAACCCCGUUUGGUAGUCAAUUGGAUCGAGCCGGCGAGGGCUUGGUCGUGAAAAUUGUCAUGCCACGGGGACUGUACUGAGGAACCUUGUGGUAAUGAGACCUUUGGUUCCGGUAUACUCGAGUAUUACCAAAAUGACUGAAUGGAGUGCGGGCCCGGUUGGGGUAUGUUGGGUGGAAGGAAUGGAAGUGAAGUGAGGUCUACGGUUUGGUACUUUCAACAUUGACGGAGGGUCAAUGAGUGUGGAUCAAGAAUGUAAGCGUGGAAAUGGGCUCUUGAGAGUCGACCGUAUCCUUUCACUGAAUUGCUUACUUCGAAAUUGCAUACUUGAAUUGAAUGGUUAUGCUUAUGUGAUCUUAACUGCUAUUGUGAUAGUUGCUCACUGAGCUUUAGCUCACUCCGUUCCAUUUGUUUUCCUUACAGGAAAAUGAAUACUUUUGGAAAAGGUUGUAAUAGUUGAAUGACAAGUUGAGCUCAUGUACAUGUAUUUUGAAUAGCUCCUUGAGGGUGAAACCCUAUGUGUUUUGUUUCACCAAUAUUUGGUGUGUAAAUGGCUAUUGUAUGUGAAUGAACUAAAUGGAUCUCUUGGUAUGCCAAUUUGGCUUGACAAUGUUGGAUUUCCAUGUAUAUAUGUUAAGUUGAUGUUUGGAUGAACUUCUGAACGUUUCGGCUUUCAAACGGCAAAAGAAAAUUUUUGACGGAAAGGCACUGGACUGAAUCCGGCCAGGAAUCCGGCCAGAAACUGGCCGGAUUGUCGGCCGGAUUGCUUGGAAAAUUUUGAAUCCGUGAAGUUGCUCACUGGACAGUAUCCGGCCAAGAAUCCGGCCGCUAAUCCGGCCAGAUUCCGGCCGGAUUCUGCUGUCCAGGUUACUAUUCAGUUUUUCGUUUUUUUUAUUUUGUUAUUUUGAUACUUGUGACCUGUCUGAGCGCACUUUUGCAUUCCCGAAACGUAUUAGAACGCGUGUAACUGCUCCGUAGUCCUGGCGAGAGCUGGGCAGACAGUCCGCUAACCCCUUUGGUUCGCCUUAGGGGAAAGUGGGGCUGUUACAAUUGAGCUUAAUCUCUAGGAGACCAAACUCUGAUACCAAUUGUAAGGAUCGAAGACAAUCAAUCAAAAAGUCAAUCGAUAAACAAUUAAAAGAUCACAAUAUAACAAUAAAUAAAUAAAAGGGAAAGAAUUUGCAAAUCAAUUAACUACCCAACUCCUCUUGAGCUUGUAGAUUAAUUCAAAUAAGCUACUUCAAGUUGAUGAAUUAUAAUCACUCUUGUGUACAAAGGAAGGUUCACCUCCUCCUUGCCCCGAACUCCACUCGGUCAAGUCAGGACGUUUUACUAUCCCUCAAGACAACCCUCACAGAGCUACACUCAUGAAAGAUUCACUCACAAAUGAAAAGUUUACAAUGAAUCUCACACCAUUAAAACUACAAAUCUUCCUUGAAGAGUAUUUUCUCACUAAAAUCACUCUAGAUCUUUUGUAUCUUCAGUGUGCAAAAGUUAUUUGAAGUAUCUGACCAACCACUAUUUAUAUAGGAUCAAGAAAGUGCCUCAUUAGUGCUUCCAACGGAUAGAAAAUAGCUGAAGAGUCAACUAGCCGUUGGAGUAUCGGACGUCCGAUGCUUGUGUCCGAUACUGUCGGACGUCUGAUGCUUACGUCCGACAGCAGGCAGUGAGUUUGAAAAAUUUUCUUCAAUUCUAUCGGACGUCCGAUAGGCUGGUUUUCUGUGUCCGAAGGUAUGAUGUAAAACUGAGAAUUUUUCUUCAAUUCCUUAGGACGUCCGGUAGGCUGGUUUUCUGCGUCCAAAGAUACUCAAUGGUUGUCGGACGUCCAAUUCAGUCUUUUUGAGCGUCCGACAACUUUCAGCAACUUUUGUCUUCUUUCAAUUGCACUUGUUCAUGGAAUCAAAUAACUUCAUAACUGAAAGUAUAUCUUGAAGAGAUAUUAGUAUCAUCCAUUUGUUUUGUAAAUAUCAAAAGAUAAGGAUCAAGAUCAACACCUUCCACCUGCGAAAUUUGCAUCGAACCCAUAAUUUCACCAACCCAAUUAUUCAAAAGCCCAAACAAUGAAAAAUGCGGGCCCCACCCAUUCUGC
This 7250-nucleotide long non-coding RNA is filed under the name Coffea arabica (coffee). RNAcentral's name for it is "long non-coding RNA (CARA_LNC000105)". Lineage: Eukaryota; Viridiplantae; Streptophyta; Magnoliopsida; Gentianales; Rubiaceae. The record is from RNAcentral.